UAGCGAAAGCGAGUCUGAAUAGGGCGUUUAGUAUUUGGUCGUAGACCCGAAACCAGGUGAUCUACCCUUGGUCAGGUUGAAGUUCAGGUAACACUGAAUGGAGGACCGAACCGACUUACGUUGAAAAGUGAGCGGAUGAACUGAGGGUAGCGGAGAAAUUCCAAUCGAACCUGGAGAUAGCUGGUUCUCUCCGAAAUAGCUUUAGGGCUAGCCUCAAGUGAUGAUUAUUGGAGGUAGAGCACUGUUUGGACGAGGGGCCCCUCUCGGGUUACCGAAUUCAGACAAACUCCGAAUGCCAAUUAAUUUAACUUGGGAGUCAGAACAUGGGUGAUAAGGUCCGUGUUCGAAAGGGAAACAGCCCAGACCACCAGCUAAGGUCCCAAAAUAUAUGUUAAGUGGAAAAGGAUGUGGCGUUGCCCAGACAACUAGGAUGUUGGCUUAGAAGCAGCCAUCAUUUAAAGAGUGCGUAAUAGCUCACUAGUCGAGUGACACUGCGCCGAAAAUGUACCGGGGCUAAACAUAUUACCGAAGCUGUGGAUUGUCCUUUGGACAAUGGUAGGAGAGCGUUCUAAGGGCGUUGAAGCAUGAUCGUAAGGACAUGUGGAGCGCUUAGAAGUGAGAAUGCCGGUGUGAGUAGCGAAAGACGGGUGAGAAUCCCGUCCACCGAUUGACUAAGGUUUCCAGAGGAAGGCUCGUCCGCUCUGGGUUAGUCGGGUCCUAAGCUGAGGCCGACAGGCGUAGGCGAUGGAUAACAGGUUGAUAUUCCUGUACCACCUAUAAUCGUUUUAAUCGAUGGGGGGACGCAGUAGGAUAGGCGAAGCGUGCGAUUGGAUUGCACGUCUAAGCAGUAAGGCUGAGUAUUAGGCAAAUCCGGUACUCGUUAAGGCUGAGCUGUGAUGGGGAGAAGACAUUGUGUCUUCGAGUCGUUGAUUUCACACUGCCGAGAAAAGCCUCUAGAUAGAAAAUAGGUGCCCGUACCGCAAACCGACACAGGUAGUCAAGAUGAGAAUUCUAAGGUGAGCGAGCGAACUCUCGUUAAGGAACUCGGCAAAAUGACCCCGUAACUUCGGGAGAAGGGGUGCUCUUUAGGGUUAACGCCCAGAAGAGCCGCAGUGAAUAGGCCCAAGCGACUGUUUAUCAAAAACACAGGUCUCUGCUAAACCGUAAGGUGAUGUAUAGGGGCUGACGCCUGCCCGGUGCUGGAAGGUUAAGAGGAGUGGUUAGCUUCUGCGAAGCUACGAAUCGAAGCCCCAGUAAACGGCGGCCGUAACUAUAACGGUCCUAAGGUAGCGAAAUUCCUUGUCGGGUAAGUUCCGACCCGCACGAAAGGCGUAACGAUUUGGGCACUGUCUCAACGAGAGACUCGGUGAAAUCAUAGUACCUGUGAAGAUGCAGGUUACCCGCGACAGGACGGAAAGACCCCGUGGAGCUUUACUGUAGCCUGAUAUUGAAAUUCGGCACAGCUUGUACAGGAUAGGUAGGAGCCUUUGAAACGUGAGCGCUAGCUUACGUGGAGGCGCUGGUGGGAUACUACCCUAGCUGUGUUGGCUUUCUAACCCGCACCGCUUAUCGUGGUGGGAGACAGUGUCAGGCGGGCAGUUUGACUGGGGCGGUCGCCUCCUAAAAGGUAACGGAGGCGCUCAAAGGUUCCCUCAGAAUGGUUGGAAAUCAUUCAUAGAGUGUAAAGGCAUAAGGGAGCUUGACUGCGAGACCUACAAGUCGAGCAGGGUCGAAAGACGGACUUAGUGAUCCGGUGGUUCCGCAUGGAAGGGCCAUCGCUCAACGGAUAAAAGCUACCCCGGGGAUAACAGGCUUAUCUCCCCCAAGAGUUCACAUCGACGGGGAGGUUUGGCACCUCGAUGUCGGCUCAUCGCAUCCUGGGGCUGUAGUCGGUCCCAAGGGUUGGGCUGUUCGCCCAUUAAAGCGGUACGCGAGCUGGGUUCAGAACGUCGUGAGACAGUUCGGUCCCUAUCCGUCGUGGGCGUAGGAAAUUUGAGAGGAGCUGUCCUUAGUACGAGAGGACCGGGAUGGACAUACCUCUGGUGUACCAGUUGUCGUGCCAACGGCAUAGCUGGGUAGCUAUGUGUGGACGGGAUAAGUGCUGAAAGCAUCUAAGCAUGAAGCCCCCCUCAAGAUGAGAUUUCCCAACUUCGGUUAUAAGAUCCCUCAAAGAUGAUGAGGUUAAUAGGUUCGAGGUGGAAGCAUGGUGACAUGUGGAGCUGACGAAUACUAAUCGAUCGAAGACUUAAUCAA
This 2253-nucleotide ribosomal RNA is filed under the name Staphylococcus aureus subsp. aureus KPL1845. RNAcentral's name for it is "bacterial LSU rRNA". It matches the Rfam family "Bacterial large subunit ribosomal RNA", at positions 669 to 2925 of the family's 2925-position model. Lineage: Bacteria; Bacillati; Bacillota; Bacilli; Caryophanales; Staphylococcaceae. The record is from RNAcentral.